GUCCACCGAGGCGAUAUGCAAAAGCAGUGAGAGAGAGAGAGAGAGAGAGAGAGAGAGUGAAAAUCAGCUCUCCUCACGUCGACCGUCGUCAUCAUCGCUGGCUGGCUGGCUGACUACAUCACGCAGUUGGCUGGUCGGUCGAUCACAUACCCACCUAAAUCGAAAGGGUCUAUUCAGUCAGUGUAGCAUCGAACUGGCACCGUCCCUGAUGUUUGAUGGUAUCUCGUCGUGAUGGAUCGCCAACAUCAACAGCAUCAGCACUAGCAGUAGUCUGAUUAGUGAGUGAUUAGCCAGCCAGCAAGCACAGUAUGAUUGGAUUGGAAAUUUUCUUCGCUGAUCUGUCGGUUCAAGUUUUCUCAUAAAGUGUAAAUGUGUUUUGUCUUUUCUACGCAAACCAGGAAGAACAACUCGGUUUUAGUUAAAAUCCGAAAGUGAUGAGAGUUUAGGCACAAUUAUUACUGUUGGUACUAUCGCGAGAAUGCUUUGGAUGAGGAAUCAGUUGGUGCGAAAAUGUGUGUUUAAAAUAGUCACUUUUUAAGAGCAGCAAGAGAAAAAUGUGUCUACAAAAAAUUAAGUGAAAUAUAAUUACCCACGAGUGUCCGAUUGCGUUACACAGGAAAAUACCAAAACCAAGUGUAGUUUUUUUUUGCGUUGAAAGCUUACCCAGCCGCCACCACAGGGUUGUUUGCAGCUGUUUGACAGUAUCAGGCAAAGGUAAAGAAGAGUGUGCAGAGUUGGUUGUGCUGGGCUGUUGGUGUGAGUGCGAUUAUUAUCACACGCCCCAUCCAUCCCGUGGAAGGUUGCAACAGCUGACCGAGCGGUGGACUAUUUGCGUGUAUUCUGGAUUGGGAAAUUGAAUGAAGUUCGACUAGAGUUGCAUCGAUAUCAGAAUGAAUCCCGCCAUUAGUGAGCAUGAGGCGGCCUCGUUGGUCGCAGAAAUGUUCGAUCAUUUUUGUGCCGCGACCACCAUGCGCCAGAUUCUGGGCCUGUACAGAAACAUGUGUGAUAUCCUCGGGCUACGACCUGGGCCGCUGAACGAAUUUUAUCCCAAGUUCAAAGCGAAAAUUCGUAACUGGAAAGCGCAAGCGUUGUGGAAAAAGUUUGACACCCGCGCCUCGCAUCGCGUGUACAACAAAGGCACAGCCGCUAGCGGCACCCGUGUACUAGUCAUCGGCGCAGGACCCUGCGGUCUGCGUACGGCAAUCGAAGCACAGCUGCUCGGUGCCAAAGUGGUUGUAGUAGAAAAACGUGAUAGAAUUAGUAGGAAUAACGUACUGCAUCUGUGGCCAUUUCUAAUCACCGAUCUCAAAGCGCUGGGAGCGAAGAAAUUUUACGGUAAGUUCUGUGCCGGUUCCAUCGAUCACAUCUCGAUCCGGCAGCUGCAGUGCAUUCUGCUCAAGGUUGCCCUGCUGCUGGGUGUGGAAGUGCACGAAGGCGUUUCGUUCAUACGCGAGAUCGAACCAAAGGACGGUUGCGGUUGGCGCGCAGCCGUCUCACCCGAAGAACAUGCCGUCUCCCAUUAUGAGUUCAACGUGUUGAUCGGUGCCGACGGUAAGCGCAAUACCUUGGAAGGCUUCAAGCGAAAAGAGUUUAGGGGUAAACUGGCGAUCGCUAUCACGGUCAAUUUCAUCAACAAGAAAUCCGAAGCGGAGGCCAAAGUCGAGGAGAUCAGCGGCGUGGCGUUCAUCUUCAAUCAGUCGUUCUUCAAGGAACUGUACCAGACAACCGGUAUCGAUCUGGAGAACAUUGUGUACUAUAAGGACGAAACGCACUAUUUCGUGAUGACCGCGAAAAAGCACAGUCUUCUCGACAAGGGUGUGAUCAUUCAAGAUUAUGCCGAUCCGGCCGAACUACUUUCUUCGUCAAACGUAGACACCGCCAAGCUGUUGGAUUACGCCCGGGAAGCCGCCAAUUUCUCGACCAAAUACCAAAUGCCUAACAUAGAAUUCGCGGUAAACCAUUACGGCAAACCGGAUGUAGCCAUGUUCGAUUUUACCUCGAUGUUCGCUGCAGACAACUCGUGUAAGGUUACCGUCCGAAAGAACUACCGAUUACUAUCCUGUCUGGUUGGAGAUAGCCUGUUGGAACCGUUCUGGCCAACGGGAUCAGGUUGCGCUCGAGGUUUCCUAUCCAGUAUGGAUGCUGCGUACGCGAUCAAACUUUUCUCCAACCAAAAGAACAGUCUUCUAGCGGUGCUAGCGCAACGGGAAUCCAUCUACCGGCUACUCGCACAAACAACCCCGGAAAACCUGCACCGAGAUAUUGGAGCCUACACGCUUGAUCCCAGCACCAGGUACCCCAAUCUAAACAAAGCCUCAGUCAACAUUAUCCAAGUGAAACACCUACUGGACAGCGACGAUCCGGCACUGCUCGAACAGACGUUCCUGGACACCAAUGUGCUUACGGCUGGUCCGGAAGUUACCAUCACCAAACGCAAGCGACGCACAAACGACACGGUUCCGCUGGGCACGGUACUGUUACGGUGGAUCAAAUCACAGCUGAAAGAUAACGAAUUCGUGCAGGAGUUAACGGAUGCAGCUCAGUGCUUUACCAACGGUCAAGUUCUGUGCACUUUGAUUAACCGGUACCGGCCCGACCUGGUGAAUUUGGAGGAGCUGGAAGGAUUCGGUUCAAACGAGUGUAACGAGCAUGCCUUCUCCAUUCUUGAAGAUCAUUUAGGAAUACCUCGUGUAAUGUCCGGCCAAGACUCGGUAACACUGAUCGGUGUCGACUCGAAGCUGUGGCUGAACUACCUGGAGCAGAUAUGCGAAGUGUUCCGCGGAGAAAUCCCGCACGUCAAGCACCCGAAGCUGGACUAUGCCGAGUUCAAGCAGAAGCAGCAGAUCAACAACAUGGAAGAGUUCGCAAAACUGCGCCGUUUUGCGGCGAAUCGAAUGGCCGCCAUAAAUGUACCGGUUGUGGCCGCCGCUGGUGCUACCGGAUCGACUGGUGCGCGAAAGUCUUCCAGCUACUAUCAUUCGAACGAGGAGGAACGCAUCAAGCGCAGCCGGAAGGUACUGGGCGCCGAAUCUAGUCCAAUGGCUUCACCACAAACCGAUACCACGAAGCGAGCGAAGAAACGUCGUAGUUAUGAGAAAUUUGGCAAUAUUGAGGAACGCACCCGCCGUUUCCAGGAGAUCGAAGCGAACCGGUGCGAUCGCCAGACGAAACGACGCCUGGCACGGGCACAGCAGACUAACAACUUCUACACUAGUCUUCACAUGCUGCAGGCGAACACUUUCCUGCGCGAAAGUGACAGCUCCAGCGCAUUUGAGGACUACUCGCUGUUCCUCUACCGGCAGUCGGCACCGGAAUUCAACGAUCGCGUCAAAGAGAUGGAACGGAAAAUUCUCUAUCCCGACCGCGAUCGUGGUUUAGCCGCGGCCUACCCGCGCAGUCUCGCUGCCGUGGCCGACGGUGAACAGUUUAGCGAUCGGAUCAAAUCGAUGGAGCAGCGCAUCGGUGGCAAACAGGCGCCCAUCACCGAGAAAAAGCCGAAAGAUCUACUUCGGGCGAUCGGUAAGAUCGACAGCAGCGAUUGGAAUGUGAAGGAGAUCGAGAAGAAGAUUGAACUUUCGAAAAAGGCGACCGACAUUGGCAAGAGCCGUGAGCGCGUUCCGAAGUGGAACCGUGAGCAAUUUUUAGCUCGGCAAAAUAAGCUCACCCAGCAGCCAGAGGAUGAAAAGUACAAGGAGUUUGACAAUUCACUCAAAGCGAUCGACAAACAGCUGAAGGAGGGACACAACUUGGAUCUGGGCGAACGUGGUAAGAAUAAGGUUGCGUCCAUUGCUGGACAAUUAUUGAGCACCAAGCAGCAGCAGCAGCGGCAACAGCAGCAGCAGCAGCAACAGCAACAUCAUCAUCAUCAUCCGAAGUCGACAACUAAAGCCGCUCUCGUCCUAACGUCUGCUGGAGUAGCAGAAAAGUGCCACUUCUGUAAGCAGCGUGUGUACUUAAUGGAGAAGAUUUCAGCCGAAGGACUCACACUGCACCGAUCCUGUCUCAAGUGCCAUCACUGCCACACGAAUUUAAGACUUGGUGGCUACGCCUUCGACCGAGACGAUCCCGAGGGUAAAUUCUACUGUACGCAACACUUCAAGCUGCCGUCGAAAACGGUAAAACCGACAACGAAACGGUCGUUGCCUCGAACACCCCAGGGAGGAGACAGUAGACAGGCAAUGGCAGCAGCAGCAGCAGCAGCCGCUGAAUUCUCACAACCAACCACACCGGACUCGAAAUCGUCGUCCGGGGUCAUGCCGUUUGAUCUGUUGGAUCGCGGUGAAACACCGGAACGGAUUGAGUUCGAAAACGUGGACGAUCCUAUCUCGGAUUCGGAAGCAGCCAUGGAAGUGAUCGAUGAGAAUGAGUGGACCGAUCGUAACUUUGGUACCGAGUCGGAUGAGUCCGACGAGGAUAUGUCUAGUUCGGAUGAAUCGGGCAGUGACAGUGACUCGGAUUAUGAGGAAGCUGCCGGAUCGCCACUUGGGGCGCAAACUUUGCAGCUGGCGUCCGAGUGGAUUAGCGAUAAGCGGUUCUCCAAUAUGGUCGAUAGCGAUGAUGAUUUCUAUGGGUAUUCGAGUGAAGAUGACGAAGCAGAUUCACAAACCGAAGGCGAAGAAUUUGCUCGAGCACGUGAGAUUCGGAUGAUGGAAGUGAAACUUAUGCCACCGCCUACUCUACCGACUGACACCGAAACCGAUGUUGCCUCUAAACAACAGCCACAAAUAGUCCCCACUGCAUCUCCCUAUCAGCUCAGUAACUCUAGCGCCCUUUGCACUAGCAUUGUUCCUAAUCAAACCGUCAAUAACCCACCGCAGUCGGUAGAAUCCGCCGAGGAUAAGGCCCUCAAGCAGAAAAUGCUCCAGAAGCUUAGUAUCCGCGAGCAGUGGCUUCACUCUUCACCUCAUCCUUCGUCGCCGGUGGCGACCGAAGCCGCUACCCCAGCCGCAGAACCUUUAAAACCAAAAACCUCAUUUUUCGGUGGUCUCAUGAACAGUCUCAGCACACUAAUAAAAUCCGAAAAACUGGCACCUAAACCUGAAACACCCCCACCGCCAACUUGCAAAGAUUCACCCCCUAGCACACAGGAGCUUCCACAAGUCGUGCACCAACCACCGUCACCAUCGCCAUCACUCCGUCAAUCAUCCAUUGUAUCACCAAAACCGCCACCGUCACCGACACCGUCCUUGAAAAAGACAAUUCCCCCACCGUCACCAACGCCCUCGCUGAAAAAGGCAAAACAACUCGAAGUAGCCCCUUCACCGACACCGUCUUUGAAAAAACACAGGAAACAUAAACAUGCUACUCCUUCCCCAACGCCAUCUUCCGGCAUCUCGGAGGAUGCCGCAUUCGAUGAAAUGUGCGAGGCUGACCUGAAAGGUCUAAGCAGUGGCCGUAGUACUCCACGUUCGAAGCGCCGUAUUCGACCCAAAUCCCAAGAAGUUCGUCAAGAUGCUGACGAGUUUCUGGAGCAGAUCAAGCAAGAUCAAGCCGAUUUGGACAAGCGCAUGAAAAAGGUGGAGGCUAAAAAGUUCCAAAGUAACAUGCAAUCCAUUAAAUCAGCGGUCGAAAAUUCACGAAUUGUUGGUGUUAAAAGUGAAAAAGAUGUGACAAAGUUUUUUUCUGCGCCGAAGAAAGAUUCGGCGGCCGAACAGAAACCGAAACAGCUUCCUAAUAAGGACGUUUCCGCUUUACAGGGUGUCAAUCUUUCCAAGUAUUUCCCACCGUCUCCGAGCAGGUCGAAAGCAAGCGUUGGGACACCUUCCUCGGUUUCCAGCGUCGAAGGUUCGCCCAUGCUGCCUCGCAAAAAACCCAGCGAUACAGAUUUGAGGAAAUAUUUUGGUCCCAGUACGGCUAAAUCUUCCCCAUCGUCUCCAUCUUCGCUGGUUUCUCCAGCUAUCUCCCGUCAAAAUAGUACGGAAUCACCCGGGGUAGCCCGGAAAAAUAUUUCCCCCGUAACUGUCAAAGCGAUAACACCUGCCGCUUUAGCUCCUAGACCACCGAUGGUACCUCUCCCUCCGAAGAAAAAUGUUUUAGCUUUUCAGCCGAUUAAAAAAUCUAAAACUGAAACGGCUCUCCCGCCCGCUGCGCCAAUUAAAAAUGUACUGGCUUUUCAACCCGUAUCCAAACCAAAAACGUCUUCCCCAAAAGCUACGCCAAAAUCUAAAUUGAACUCAUCGCCUAAAAAGCUUAGUCCGCCACAACGAAAGUCUCCGGAGGUUGAUGAAAAAUUGUUCGAUGAUUUGCUGAAAGAUAUUGACGAAUCGGAAACAGCUUCUUUCCAAAAGUUAACCCCCUUUGUGUGUUCCCCCGACGGAUCAGAAGAGAAACUGUUUGAAGAUUUGUUGAACACUGCAAGCACUUCACCGAAGCCGGAAGGUCCGACGAAAAUUCCCCCUAAACCGAAAUCGCCCAUAAGGCGUCGAUCCCCGGAUACGGACGAACAGCUGUUCGAAGAUCUGUUGGGUGAAGUUGACGAAUCCUCGAUCGAAAAGUUUGACGAAAUUCUUGGCCUUCCCAAAAAGCAAAGUCCCAAACUGUCCAAAAAGAAACCUUCCCCAAAGCAUUCACCAAAGGUUUCGCCGAAACAGUCUCCCCUGGCGAAGAAAAAAGCCGUACCGAAAAUGACGCUUAAACGUCCACCGUUCAAAAUCACCGUCCCCGUUAAGAUGCAGCAAACGCUGGAGGAAAUCUAUCUGGCUAGCCUGUCGAAGCUGGAUACCCGAUCGGUUUCGACGACCAGCUUGAAUUCCCUCGCCAGUAAAUCCAGUGAUGGCGCUGGUAGUGAGCUAGGUAAAGUUGAUGAAGCAUUCGAACGGUUGCUGCUUGAAGAAGAGCCCGUUUCGAGUAGCGUUCUGGUUCUGAAGUCUGAGCAAAUAAAUAUUCAGCCCUUUCAGGCCCCCCAGCGAGCGAAAACGACGACAACGACAACGACGACGACGACGCAGAAUGGUGGCAACAGAAAAGGCGAGGAAGCUACUAAAAUCGAAACGACGGAAAGAUCGGAAUCGGCGAGGACCAUGGUUGGGCAGGUAUUGCCGGUAGAGUCAGAGCGCGUAACGAAUCAACAAAAUGUAUCUUCACUAGCAACGAAAGUUGGUCCCGUCGGUGGAAGUAGUACAACUAAAGUCAAUACUUGUGAUAUUGUUUCGUCGAUCGAAUAUUCCAAAGAUCUUAAACAGGAACAGUCUCGAACUCCUACAGCUAUACGUAAAAAUAUUGUACAAGAAACAUCCGACCUGCAGAGUUCUAUACUCGCGUUGAACCAGGCGCCAAUACAACAACGGAAACCUUUGGCUACAGCGUCAAAUUUAUCUACGAAUUCAUCGUUAACUACUCCCCAGACUAAACAGGAACAGCCUUCUACUCCUACAGCUACACGAAAAAAUCUCGUGCAAAAAUCAGACGUUCUGCAAAGUUCUGUGCUCGUGUUGAAACAGGAGGCAAUACAGCAAGGAAAAUCUUCGACUGCAGUGUCGAAAUUAUCUACGGAGUCACUGUUAACUACUCCCCAGACUAAGCAGCCUUCUACUCCUACAACUACACGUAAAAAUUUCGAACGAAAAUCAGAUGUUCCGCUGAGUUCUGUACUCGUGUUGAACCAGGAGGCAAUACAGCAACGAAAACCUUCUGACGCAGCGUCAAAAUUGUCCACGAAUUCACUGAUAGCUACUCCUCAGACUAAACAGCCUUCUACUCCUACAGCUACACGCAAAAAUCUCGUACAAAAAUCAGGCGUUCCGCAGAAUUCUGUACUCGUGUUGAACCAGGAGGCAAUACAGCAAGUAAAACCUUCGACAACAGUGUCAAAGUUAUCUACGGAGUCACUAUUAACUACUCCUCAGACUAAACAGCCUUCUACUCCUACAGCAAUACGCAAGAAUCUUGUGCAAAAUCCAGACGUUCUUCAGAGUUCUGUACCGGUGUCGAACCAGGAAGCGAUACAGCCACGAAAACCUUCAGAUGCUGCGUCAAAAUUGUCCACGAAUUCACAGUUAACUACUCCUCAGACUAAACAGGAACAAACUUCUACUCAUACAGCCACACACAAAAAUUUUGCGCAAAAAUCAGACGCUCUGCAGAGUUCUGUACUCGUGUUGAACCAGGAGGUAACACAGCAAGGAAGACCUUUGACUACAGUGUCAAAAUUAUCUACGGAGUCGCUGUUAACUCCUCAGACUAAGCAGUUUUCUACUCCUACAGCUACACGCAAAAAUCUUGUACAGAAGUCAGACACCCUGCAGAGUUCUGUACUCGUGUUGAACCAGGAGGCAACACAGCAACGAACAACAGCCGAUACAAUGUCAAAAAUGUCCGCGGAUUCACGAUUAACUGCCCCUCAGACUCCCACUGCAAUUCGAAAAUCUGCAAUCGAAGUUCAAUUAAGUCCUACGAAUGUAUGUGAAAGCAAAAUGAACGGAAUGAUGGAUACCUCGAAUUCAACUAGCACUACGUCGCAGUCAAAGGCUGUGAAACCUUCGAUAACCGAACGUAUGCCUACAAGGAUGCUAUCGUCCCAGAAGGAAGUUUUCCUAAAAUCAGCACCGUCCGUUGCCGUUGACUCAAGAAAUGCUGGAAACUCAACAAUAGUGAAUUACAAAUCAGAAAGCGUUGCAGCGCCUACAAGAAGCGUUCCGGUUCAACAGAAUCCUGUUGCUGUAGCAAGUCCUAUUCUAGCAAGAAAGAGCACGAAGGUCAUUCCGGAAAAAUCUACUGCAUCAGAAAAAUCAGAGGCUCUAAUUUUAAGAAAUUCUCAACAGCCAAGAACCGUUUCAACACCCACAAUAACUAGGCCACAUCAAACAGCUGACGCCAUCCAAAAAGUUCUGGUUCAAGAGCAUAGUGUAGCUCUAUCAAGUCCCACUCUACCUAAAAAGAACAUGAUGGCGGCCGUUCCGGACGUCACCAAAGCAGCAGCUCUUUCUUCAGAAAAUUCUAUAAAAUCUGCAAUUGUUACACCGCCAUAUCAAGCUCCCCGUUCCAGCAAUACCAUCUUGGUCCAAGAACAUAGUGUUCCUGUGGUAAGUUCCACUUCAGUGAAAAGGCCAUCUAUGAUUGUUUCGGAUGCUGUAACUACAACGAAUACUCCUCAAUCAAUCAAACUGGCAGCACUGCCCACAGCACACCAAACUCCCACGUCAACAUCCAAAGUUUUGGUCCAAGAACGUGAUCCUUCGUCUAUCACUCAAAAACUUCAGCAAGGUUUCCCGACUCAACUAAACUCCCUCCCCGUAGUCCAACCAGAGCAGAUGAGUUCAGCUGCCGAACGAAGCUUCCACGAACUGCCCGUGAAGCCUGAAGCUAGUUCGCGCAAACAAUCAGAAAUUGAGAAAGCCGUAUCCUUGCCAACACCCGAACCCACCUCCAAGCGACAGGAUUUCUUCAAAGAACUACUGGAGAAUAAAGAUCAAAACGAACCACGCCCGGUGGUGGUGGAAAACAAACCGGUCGAUGUGCCACGCACCCUCUCCGAGUUCCGCUGCUCUAUUCUCACGAAACAAAUGCGUUCUGAAAGGAGCCACCGACGUGGUGAAGAGAUUGAACCUAUGCUACGUGAUAAGAUUAAUGAGUUAGUAAUGGAGGUCGAACCGGGAACGAACCUAGACGACAUGAUCGAGGAAGUCCCGGUUCCAGCAAGCCGAAAGAAAUCCUCCUUCCAGAAGAUGUUCAACAAACUACAGCGUGCGAAUACUAUUGCCGCACCGGAGGGUUCAUCGUUGAAGAGUUUGCUGCUGCCGUUCAAAAAGGAAGAGUUAAAAAUUGAGGUUAUUCGGGAAGGUCCCAGUAAAGAGUCAAUGAAACCGACUACUUCUGAGUCGGCGAAGAUCCAACCGCAGCCAGUGGAGGUUAAGGAGCGUAUGCAGAUCAAUCUGGAACGUUCGGCGCAAAUUAAGGAGAGAUAUGUUAAACAAAAGGCACCAUCGCCUCCUAGAUCAGCCGGAAACGGCAAAGAAUCUCCAAUUCAAACGACCAUAACAAAAACGUCUUCCUUUAAGAUUCAUUCAACAUCGCAGAAAUUGCAACCGGGACUAUCGGGACUCAAACAAGAUCUAGUUGAGGUUUCCAAAAAGCUGGAAAAGCCUGUGUCAAAUAUGGCGUUGCCAAAUGAGAAAACUGAGAGACCUCCGGAAACAAAUUCGGUUAAGAUUGCUUCUGCUCCAAUAUCUGAGGUACCCACGCCUAAAAUUAACACUUCGCUCAAGCGAAAUAGCCCACCAACUCCAAAAACGUUGGUGGAGAAAUCGCUACCCCCGGUAAUCCAAAAAGAAGCUCCCGAACCUACACCGCAGAAAGCACUUCUUCAAUCACCGUCAACGGGUGCUUCUCUGAAUAUUGCUCCAGUUCCUCCUGCUCGGCGAGGUUCCCGAACGUCACGAUCACCCAGCAUUGUCUCCGAAUCGGUGAAACUCGGCGAACGAAAAACUUUGUUCAAAAUGCCAGCGCCAAAAGAUGUCGAUCAAAUUCGUAGCAUAUUAAGCCGUGACGGCGGUGGUAACAAGAACCAUGAGGUUUCCGAUUUUGAACAAUUGCUAGGUGACGUGGAUAGCACGGAAAUCGUUGAAAUAAAUGAUCUGCUUUCCUCGGAUUGUCAGGUAGAGAUUCUACCGUCGUCAGUGUUCCCAGUUGCUGGCGCAGAUCCUUGUCAUGAGAAGACAAAGCGAGUCAUCGACGCUACACUUUCUUCGACACUAGUUGGUAAUAAGGAACCGGCAAGAAAUGCUCCCAAAAACGUUCUUUCCGAUGAACAAUUCAACAACACUUCAAAGGAGUUAACAGAUAGAUUCUUGAGCUCUAAGUUGCCUACAAAAAAUGAAAAGAAAAAUCUGAACAGCGAAGCGAUGAUCACGACCUUAACAGAAACCACUACGACCAUGUCAGAAAAAGAAUCAAACCUCUUCGAAACCCUUAACAAACCAGAAUCUCCCAAAGUGUUAAAACUGGAUGCAUCAGAUCUUAUCAACUCAUCCGCUUCGCUUCCGGAACAAAACUCCCUACCCGACGUCAUCAAUAUGACCCGAAAACCAUCUUUCGAAGAAACACCCUCGUGCAAAACCCCACUCCACCCGGAUAAGAUCCAGCAGAUCAUACACCCCACACCUCAAGAGAUCCAAGUUUACACACUGCACACCGCUGACGGCAACAAACCGAUCGAACCGCAACCGUCCACCCGCGGUAUGACCGGUGAAUAUGCUCACAUUUUGCGAGACAUCACCUCCGGCCUGGUAGGCGCUGAUUUUGACUCUCCCGAAAUCUACGAACCACCCCCACCACCGUCGAUCAACGUCAAACCAAAGUCGGACUUCACCAUCUACAAGCAAAUGUUGGAAGAUGAUAAAGCGGUCGAUUCGCCCCAACGACCAUCACGCCGCCAAAAGCAGUACGAUCGAAGUGUAUCGCCAGCUCUGAAGCCUUUCGAUAACUCCAUAUGUAUUGAUCCACGCCGGGCUAAGAGAUCAUCCAGCAUCGAAAAUGUAGCUAUUGAUCAGGUGGUUGUGAAGCAGGACGACAAAGUUAUCGAUACGUUCUACGUGGUACCCGAACGGCCUCCACCCCUCAAGCGACGAUCAAAAUCGUUCGAUCGACUGGAUGUUCCGUAUGUAUCCCGUGCUGGUGCACGUCAGCACAAGAAAUCUCUGGAAGAACUCCGUGAUUAUGGCUUUGAUAUCGAACCUCCUUCCACGUCCAAGAAGCUGGUGAAUCCCAGACUAAGACACUUCAACAUUGUGGAGUCCGAUGAAGAUCUUUCCAGUUUGAAUGAACCAAGAAAGUUUGGGCGUAUGCGAAAGUGUCAAUCAUCAGCGGACACAUCCAAGCUUGGAUCUUUGACUCGAGUCGACAUUGAUCGUGAGUCUCCCAUUCCUCGUAGCACCGAUUUUUCAAAGUGGGAAGCUAUUCUGGAUCGUGGCGUUCCGUACUAUCACGAAACUAUUGUAAGUCACAAGAAAGAAGAUAUUAAAACUUUAGAAAGGAAACUAGAAGACUUGAAAACGGAGCGAAAACCGCGACGAAAAACUUCCAGCAAGACUGAUAUACCGAAGGAGUACGAUCCAGAUGAGUACGUACCAAGAAUUAAUCGAAGAUUCGUCGAUUCUUUCGAAAUUCCGGAUUCUAAUCUUCCAAAAUCAUACGACCCGGAUGAAUACGUACCGAAAGCUCAGCGCGCGGCACGCCGUGCCCACGACGUCGAUGUUCCUACGACCACGAUCAAACCACAGCGAUCUUCUGCCUAUGAAACCGACGUUCCGAUAUCUCGUGUAGCUGGAAAAUAUUAUCCCGAUACUAUGCAUCUGGACGAUAUUCCACAUACCCUCCCAAGAUCGAAGACAACCUCACACGUACCAUUAACCUCAACCUCCUCCAGAUCUUUCGACGUACCCUCGCGCCGUCUCGCGGCCAACACCCCCGUCAGCAGUGCCACCCGUACCCGACAACUGCACGAAAAGGCCAACCGGUUCAUUCGAUCGCAACACACCAAAAACGACCCAAACCCUUACAUUCGCGCCUUGGACGAUAGCGAUGACGACGGUUGCCCGCUGGUGGUAACGACAUCGUCAUCAUCGCAUCGUACACCGAUCACCACCGUAGGCUCAUAUCGUCCCGUGUCCACCUUCGGUACAUCCAAUACGGCGGCCCUGAGUCGCAUCACCACCAAAGCCAUCACUCAGCCGUCACGAAUGACAUCCUACACUCGCAAAGACGGUCCAUCUACGUCCGCUCGAUCGUAUCGCCGAGGGGGUGAAUCUUCAAAUCGUCGAGACAAUUGCUCAAUUUCCUAGACAGAAAACAAACAAUACAAGCGCUAGUUUUAUAGUUACUUUUCGGACCCUGUUUGUUCAAAAUUAAUGUCACAUCAAUCAAUAGAAGAAAAAUUACACCCACACAGAAAUUUGUAAGCAUAGAAAAACCAUCGAAAUUUCAUCCCCACACAUCAAAAAAAAACUGAAACAGGAUUCCUGGGUACGAUUUAAGCUGAAUUGAGGAAGAAACUCAAAACUAAAAGAGGGUGCAUCGGAUUCAGAUUCGUACUCGGAGGAAAUCAACUCGGCAACGGAGAUCUCGACCGACUCGGAGUUUGACCAUGAACCAACCCAUCGGCUGCCGCCGCGAAUUUUCAUCGACGACACACACCUGCGACGGCCG
This is an RNA transcript of Topomyia yanbarensis, 13140 nucleotides long. It is a transcript of the gene named F-actin-monooxygenase Mical, with no coding region annotated. The transcript is spliced from 13 exons. The record is from RefSeq and is a predicted model, not a curated record. Lineage: Eukaryota; Metazoa; Arthropoda; Insecta; Diptera; Culicidae.